Molecule: small nucleolar RNA, 107 nt
Organism: Dioscorea cayenensis subsp. rotundata (Guinea yam)
Lineage: Eukaryota; Viridiplantae; Streptophyta; Magnoliopsida; Dioscoreales; Dioscoreaceae
Source: RefSeq, a predicted model, not a curated record
AACCCAUGUUGAGGACAUUUCUAUAGGAGAUCUUUGAACCUUUCUUAUGUCUCAAAAAGAGACUCCAAUUCCAUAUGCACAAAGUAGGAUAUCUCAUUCUUGAGCUU